This 335-nucleotide unclassified non-coding RNA is filed under the name Hevea brasiliensis (rubber tree). Lineage: Eukaryota; Viridiplantae; Streptophyta; Magnoliopsida; Malpighiales; Euphorbiaceae. The record is from RNAcentral.
GGAUCACAGUGGUCACACUGAUGAGAUGGUAUGUUCUAUAUUUAACGCAAUAGCAUGAACUGCGAAUAGAAAGGAUAUCCUCCCUCAUGUUAUCUUUAUGUUUUUUAUCAUACAAAUGACUUAACAUGAUAAAAAUUUAGUUCUCAAGCUGAAAUUGGUACUUUUUUGAGCCCCUAGUCUUUGGAAAUUAAUUACUUAAAUAGUGGUCAUCAUCAAUCUGGUUGAAGACCUCUUCUCAGUGUAUAAUUGUAACAUAGGGUCUAAGUUUUGGAAAGUUGAUUUGAUUUUAUGUAUGGAUUAUAGUGGAAUUCGAGCCCCUUCUUUUGAGACUGGAA